UGCGGAGGGAUCAUUACCGAGUUUACAACUCCCAAACCCAUGUGAACAUACCUAUUGUUGCUUCGGCGGGAUUGCCCCGGGCGCCUCGUGUGCCCCGGAUCAGGCGCCCGCCUAGGAAACUCAACUCUUGUUUUAUUUUGGAAUCUUCUGAGUAGUUUUUACAAAUAAAUAAAAACUUUCAACAACGGAUCUCUUGGUUCUGGCAUCGAUGAAGAACGCAGCGAAAUGCGAUAAGUAAUGUGAAUUGCAGAAUUCAGUGAAUCAUCGAAUCUUUGAACGCACAUUGCGCCCGCCAGUAUUCUGGCGGGCAUGCCUGUCUGAGCGUCAUUUCAACCCUCAUGCCCCUAGGGCGUGGUGUUGGGGAUCGGCCAAAGCCCGCGAGGGACGGCCGGCCCCUAAAUCUAGUGGCGGACCCGUCGUGGCCUCCUCUGCGAAGUAGUGAUAUUCCGCAUCGGAGAGCGAUGAGCCCCUGCCGUUAAACCCCCAACUUUCUAAGGUUGACCUCAGAUCAGGUAGGAAUACCCGCUGAACUUAAGCAUAUC
This 542-nucleotide ribosomal RNA is filed under the name Gliocladium sp. cp0035. Its description in RNAcentral is "eukaryotic LSU rRNA". The stretch from base 174 to 327 matches the Rfam family "5.8S ribosomal RNA". The record is from RNAcentral. Lineage: Eukaryota; Fungi; Ascomycota; Sordariomycetes; Hypocreales.